This 224-nucleotide ribosomal RNA is filed under the name uncultured bacterium. RNAcentral's name for it is "partial 16S ribosomal RNA". It matches the Rfam family "Bacterial small subunit ribosomal RNA", at positions 524 to 745 of the family's 1533-position model. The record is from RNAcentral.
UACAGAGGGUGCAAGCGUUGUUCGGAAUUACUGGGCGUAAAGCGCGUGUAGGUGGCGAUGUAAGUCGGGUGUGAAAUCCCUCAGCUUAACUGAGGAAGUGCACUCGAUACUGUGUCGCUUGAGUGUUGGAGGGGAUGGCGGAAUUCCCGGUGUAGAGGUGAAAUGCGCAGAUAUCAGGAAGAACACCUAUGGCGAAGGCGAGCUCUCUGGGACGGUACUGGACG